GCCAGCACAUGCUGUUUUAUGAUGGAUGU
Molecule: non-coding RNA, 29 nt
Filed under: Rattus norvegicus (Norway rat)
Lineage: Eukaryota; Metazoa; Chordata; Mammalia; Rodentia; Muridae
Source: RNAcentral